UACCACGCUAGAUACUACAGAGAAUGGCUAAAUGGCGAUAGCAAAACCCCAAUACGAAAUCUCUGCCGGCGUAAGUUUGAAGUUGGUCUAUUCGAGCUUGGGUUUAGCCUCUUUACACAGAAGUAUCCUAUGGGUUUCCUCUAUUAACCCAUGUGGAAGAUAGUGUCUAGACUUCCGUUCUAAAAACAACGAUUUUAGCCUAGGAAAAAUCUCUUCCUCAAAGAGAGCUUUCUUCACUUACCCUCCUUUCAUCUUGAACUACUCUAUUUACAUACGGCAGUAAGGAAGUAAGUGGUAUGCCGAACAUGUGAGGUGGCAGAUUUUAUU
Molecule: ribosomal RNA, 327 nt
Filed under: Triticum aestivum (bread wheat)
Lineage: Eukaryota; Viridiplantae; Streptophyta; Magnoliopsida; Poales; Poaceae
Description: partial small subunit ribosomal RNA
Source: RNAcentral